CAGCAGCCGGCGGGAAUACGGAGGGGGCGAGCGUUAUCCGGAAUUAUUGGGCGUAAAGGGUACGUAGGUGGCCUUUUAAGCGUAGGGUAUAAGGCAAUGGCUCAACCAUUGUUCGCCCUAUGAACUGGAAGGCUUGAGUGCAGGAGAGGAAAGCGGAAUUCCUAGUGUAGCGGUGGAAUGCAUAGAUAUUAGGAGGAACAUCAGCGGCGAAGGCGGAUUUCUGGACUGCAACUGACACUGAGGUACGAAAGCGUGGGGAGCAAGCAGGAUUAGAUACCCGCGUAGUCCCUGUCUCUUAUAC
RNAcentral lists this ribosomal RNA (301 nucleotides) under uncultured bacterium. RNAcentral's name for it is "partial 16S ribosomal RNA". It matches the Rfam family "Bacterial small subunit ribosomal RNA", at positions 509 to 807 of the family's 1533-position model. The record is from RNAcentral.